UACAGAGGGUGCAAGCGUUAAUCGGAAUUACUGGGCGUAAAGCGUGCGCAGGCGGCUUUGCAAGACAGAUGUGAAAUCCCCGGGCUUAACCUGGGAACUGCAUUUGUGACUGCAUGGCUGGAGUGCGGCAGAGGGGGAUGGAAUUCCGCGUGUAGCAGUGAAAUGCGUAGAUAUGCGGAGGAACACCGAUGGCGAAGGCGACAUCCUGGACCGGUAUUGACGCUGAGGCGCGAAAGCCAGGGGAGCGAACGGG
RNAcentral lists this ribosomal RNA (253 nucleotides) under uncultured bacterium. RNAcentral's name for it is "partial 16S ribosomal RNA". It matches the Rfam family "Bacterial small subunit ribosomal RNA", at positions 524 to 776 of the family's 1533-position model. The record is from RNAcentral.